GGAAGGUCGGCGCGGGCGGUGAGUUCGCCAACCCGGUCAGGGCCGAAAGGCAGCAGCCGUAACGAAAUUCUAUCGGGUCGUGUCCGGCCUUCCACC
This 96-nucleotide signal recognition particle RNA is filed under the name Rhodospirillaceae bacterium. RNAcentral describes it as "signal recognition particle sRNA small type". It matches the Rfam family "Bacterial small signal recognition particle RNA". Rfam says of the family: The signal recognition particle (SRP) is a universally conserved ribonucleoprotein involved in the co-translational targeting of proteins to membranes. Archaeal SRP consists of a 7S RNA and homologues of the eukaryotic SRP19 and SRP54 proteins. The record is from RNAcentral. Lineage: Bacteria; Pseudomonadati; Pseudomonadota; Alphaproteobacteria; Rhodospirillales; Rhodospirillaceae.